RNAcentral lists this unclassified non-coding RNA (2493 nucleotides) under Hevea brasiliensis (rubber tree). The record is from RNAcentral. Lineage: Eukaryota; Viridiplantae; Streptophyta; Magnoliopsida; Malpighiales; Euphorbiaceae.
UCCACACUAUCCAUUUAAUAUAAAGCAUAUAACCACAAUACGCAUUUAAUAAAAAAGCAUAUUAUAACAAUAUCUAUUUAAUAAAAAAGCAUAUCAUACUAUCCAUUUAACAAAUUUAACAAAAAAAAUAAUAAGAAAAAAAAAAUAAAGUGCUGGAACUGCUGGAGUGAAGAUGGACCGAUAUAAGAAGAGAAGAAAAGGAGGAGAGAAAAGAAUAAAAAAUAAAAAGAAAAAAAAAACAGAAAACAGAAUCCAUUUGCAGAGAGACAAAAGAAAAUUGAUGUUAAAAGAGCAACACACCUUAAAACCCACAAACAAAGAUUUUAGCUGCCAAGAAAAAGAAGCACAAAGAAUCAGAAUUAGUUAUCUAUGUAUUGAAGGCAAACACAGUAAAAUUAAUGCAUGACAGCUUUUUUAGGUUCAAUUUCUGGAGACUCUUCUACAAUUGAUAUAGUCAAACUAGCUCCCUAAAUAAUUCUUCUUAGCCUCUUUAUUUGGAUGAAACUUCACAUCAUCUUGCUCGAUUCUCCCAUGCUUUAUAUGACUUCUUACAACUGAAACAAAAUAAUUUUUGCUGCUAGAAGCAUAAGAAACUUCAGCUUGAUUUGCUUUUGAGGCAGUAACCAUUCUUCUACCUUUGUCAUUUGGAAAUUUUGCAACUGGUUUAACCUUCUUGAACUCCUCCUUGAUUUCAUUGCAGCAAACAUCUAAUUUUGAGCCUUUAACAUCAAAAAUAGCAUAAAAAACAGCUACUUUGCAUUGCCCUUCCUUUGUUUCAACGCCUGUACAAUCACUUUUCCAUACUGAAGUUUUCUUUUCAUUUUCACCUUUAUCACAAUUAGGUAUUUCUUUAGCUUCAGCACUAAAUAUAUCAGAUUUCAAAUUUAAAAUAAAGUUAUUAUUCUUCAAUCUUGCUUCAACAACCUUAUAGUCACGUGAGUUAUAAAUGGAACACAAAUCCCUUUUAAAUACCACAUAAUAUCCCUUCUUUAUCAUUUGUGCAACACUAAGAAGAUUUUGAUCAAGGUUUGGAAUAAACAAUAUAUAAAAAAUGAGCGUCAUACCUUUCUUUGUCUGAAGUCAAAUUGAACCUCUUCCUUCAGCUUCUACAAUUUCUCUAUUUUCCAUUCUCACUUUAGUCUUGACAGAUCUAUCCAAAAAGUUGAAAAAACUUGCAUCAUUGGCCAUGUGAUUUGUACAGCCACUAUCAACAUUCCAAAUAUACUUCUCUAGUGACUUACAAACUUGAGAUGCAAAAAAUAAAGAUUCUUCAGCUUCUUGUUGAUCUUCAAUGAAAUUGGCUGGUUGAGCAUGUUGUUGUUGAGAUUGAUUUUGCUUUGCUUUGCAAAAUCUUUCAAUGUGACCUUGCUUCUUGCAAAAAUUUCAUUGAACCCCUUUCCAGCAUCUAUCUUUACUGUGAUUUGUCUUCCCACAGGUGCCACAAGGUGGAAAUUUUCUUUUCCCACUACCAUCUCUGUUUUCAGCUUCAUUUUCCUUUGUGCUUAAUGAAGCUUUUUCUUUAUUCUUGGCUUGGAAAGUUUGGAAGGCUCUUUCAGUAACUUCUUCAUUUCUUAUUGAAGUUCUUUGCUCUUGAGCUUGAAGUUUGCUAAUUAAGUUUGCAAUUGUGAGUCUUUUCAAGUCACAUGACUCUUCAAUUGCAGAAAUUUUUGCUUCAAACUUGUUUAGCAAAGAAAUCAUAAUCUUCUUCACAACUUUUCCAUCGAGAAAAUCUUUUACAAAAAGCCUCAUUUGAUUCACAAUCUCCAUCAGUUUGGCAGAGUAGUUUUUGAUUGAUUCAACAUCCUUUAUUUUGAGCAUCUCGAAUUACCUUUUAAAAGUGAGCAAUCUGACUAAUGUCACCCUCUCAUUUCCUUAGAACUCUUCUUUGAGCUUUUCACAAGCUUCCUUGGCUGUUUGGCCACCAACUUUACUUGGAAAGGUUGAAUCUGAAACAGCUUGAUGAAUGAAAGUUAAAGCCUUGUGUUUCUUGGCACAUUCAUCACUAUGAUAUUUGAUUUGUGCCAAGGUUGGAUUUGGUGGCAAAGGUGUUGGAUCUCUUCCAGUGUCUACUACAUCCCACAAGUCAUGAGCUCUAAAAAAUAUUGUCAUUUUUACAGUCCAAAAAUCAUAAUUCUCACCUGUAAAAAGGCAUUUUGUAGAUAACCUCUCAAUUUUUUUUCUUGUUAAAUAACUCUCAAAUCUCUCUUAAAAAACUCACAAAGAUAGACACAGGCCCCUUAAGAUGGAAGCUUUAAUACCAUUUGUUGGAUUUUCUUCUGAUACCAUUUGUUGGAUUUUGUCAUAGUAAACUCACAAAGAAAACAGAGGUUCUUUACCUCACACAACAUACAAUUAAAAUUGCAGAAUUAACACACACAUUUCAUUAGAUUAGGCUGCUUAUAUAGCAGCAAAAGUAGUACAAAAAGCAUAGUCCAUAGUUACUACAACAAGUUUCAACUUACUUCUUUUUAAUCAAUCUCCUUAAAUCAAGGA